This 331-nucleotide ribosomal RNA is filed under the name Paraconiothyrium sp. NO394. RNAcentral's name for it is "eukaryotic LSU rRNA". The stretch from base 1 to 154 matches the Rfam family "5.8S ribosomal RNA". The record is from RNAcentral. Lineage: Eukaryota; Fungi; Ascomycota; Dothideomycetes; Pleosporales; Didymosphaeriaceae.
AACUUUCAACAAUGGAUCUCUUGGCUCUGGCAUCGAUGAAGAACGCAGCGAAAUGCGAUAAGUAGUGUGAAUUGCAGAAUUCAGUGAAUCAUCGAAUCUUUGAACGCACAUUGCGCCCCUUGGUAUUCCAUGGGGCAUGCCUGUUCGAGCGUCAUCUACACCCUCAAGCUCUGCUUGGUGUUGGGCGUCUGUCCCGCCUCUGCGCGCGGACUCGCCCCAAAUUCAUUGGCAGCGGUCCUUGCCUCCUCUCGCGCAGCACAUUGCGCUUCUCGAGGUGCGCGGCCCGCGUCCACGAAGCAACAUUACCGUCUUUGACCUCGGAUCAGGUAGG